Molecule: long non-coding RNA, 611 nt
Organism: Phacochoerus africanus (Common warthog)
Lineage: Eukaryota; Metazoa; Chordata; Mammalia; Artiodactyla; Suidae
Exons: 3
Source: RefSeq, a predicted model, not a curated record
UAGGUUAGGUUUAGUUAAUUAGUUUCUCCUGGGGGCAGGCCUUAUUAAGAAGAUCAGAGUGCUCUGGUGUAUUUCAGAAUGAUUCUUUUUCCCCUCCUCCUGCCGGAAGCCUGAAGAGGUUUUUCUCUGUUGUGUAGCAUGGGAAAUGGGUUGUACUCCUGGAGGUAAAUCCCACAAUAUGCGGAGAUCCUCCUCUGAUUAAACCCCUCCUGAAGUUUUACCCUCUCAGAGUUGUCUUCAAGGAGCCUCCAGCAAUUCAUCAGUUACAGUUUUGGUUCUCUUACCCUGGCACUGGUUCCUGAGGCGGUUUCUGCUCCUGAGUCUCUGCUUUGGUGUCUUAUCAUUGUCUGCCUGCACAGAAUGAAAACACUGUCCACUUCACACUGAAGUCAUGAAGAUUAAAUGAGGCAAUGGAUUUGACAUUGGUUCAGAAGACUCCAUUUGCCAGCACACUGUGAAUAAAGCCAUCUCUCUAGGAGCGAUUCCCAGUCUCUAAGCUCAAAGAGGUCAUAUGGAUGGGUACUCUCCCAUGCAGACAGACAUAAGAACAGAAGUCAAAUCAAAACCAGAAGUCUAUUUGGCGAGUAUGGAAUUAAAAUGAGCAAAAUUAA